This is a long non-coding RNA of Hylaeus volcanicus, 1507 nucleotides long. RefSeq lists it as uncharacterized. The record is from RefSeq and is a predicted model, not a curated record. NCBI's taxonomy places the organism in Eukaryota, Metazoa, Arthropoda, Insecta, Hymenoptera, Colletidae. The transcript has 2 exons.
CCGUUUUCUUGCCGUAUGCAUGUAGAAUGAGCACGGAACGGACAUCGAGUGGUAAAACUAGCCGUUGGAAUAUUCAGUCCUCGCCAAUGACGCGAAACGACUGCAACGGUUAUUGCACGGUUACGAUGUUGCUACGGAGAUCACCGUUUUAAUCUAUUUUAUUUCGUAUACAUAUUUCUAUUCACUGGAUACGAAUAUACCGCUUCCCUUAUCGUUAGUAAGUGCGUGUACAGAGGAGAAUUUCUUAUCGUCAAGACUGUACAUAAGUAGACAUUCAUCGAUGAUCGGUAAAGAAGUGUAGUGUUGUUAUCAGUAGUUGAUAUCAUCUGUAUCACCGACAAGCAUGUACAUAGUACGGGAGACAGCUGGAGGCAGCGACACUUUUUUCAUGACUACGAAUACAAAGCUGAUUUUUUUUUUUUUAUUUUGUUGUUUAUAUAUUCCACGCAAAGAAAAUGCAACUCUACCAAGCUUAUACUGUUGCCUGCAUUAAUAACAAUUUUCGAAACAUGUAAAAGGAAUUAUGUAAAUGUAUUGUAUGUACAUUAUUCAUUAUGUAGAAAGGCUGUUUAUGUUUAAGUAUGUGCGUUCGGUAGGAAUAAUUAGUAUCAAAGUAGGUAGAGUUCGUAUUCGCUAUUGCACAUUUCCAUUUAAUUCUCGCAGAAAAUUACGCUUCGUACUGAAUUAACUUGUGGCCUGGUUAGCCUUUACAAGAAAAAUGCUUUCGAACAUCUUCUUUUUUAUUAGUUCUUGCAAUUGCGAUUCAAGCAUUCAAUAGCGAUUCAAGCAUUUUUCGGUCAUGUAUUAAGUUUAGGAAAAUAUAGAUAAAAGAUAAUUGUGUAAGUUGUGGGUGGCUGAUAUGUAUGCUAAUACGUCCCAAUAAUUUUAAAGCGAUGAGAUCUGGCCAUUAUUUAGUAUGCAAUUGCUUAUCGUAUGACCGGUGGGGAUACGCUAAUGUUAUUAGCUACAUAACAAAUAGUAUCAACAAUUUAGCUGCAAUCUUUUUUGUUACGUUGGCUAUGUUUUAUUCAUUCUUCCAACUUUAAAAACUUCUACUUAUAUUACUCGUAAAAGUCAGAGAGAGAUCUCGAUAGAUAGCUUGUAAGUAGACUGCGGAUUUUAUGCAUUUAUGAUACUAUCGAUGUUAGUAUACUAAAUACAUGCUAAUCAUAACCAAAGGUAUGAGCACUUAUGUAAGAUGAAAUAAUAAUAUUACUAUAUUCAUUGUAGAAUAUAUUCAACAUGCUUUAUGUGUAGUUUUUGUAUUACUGUACACCAUAAUGCAUAAAAACCGAGUCUACUUGAACUUUCAGCGCGCUUAGUUUUAAUUCCCACCGCUAAAAGCGCUGGAAUCCGCGACACUAAUUUCCAUAAGGUAACAGAUCUAUUCCGAAGACGAGACUCAUAUUCCGUGGUAUAGGUUCAGAAUAAGAACUUUUGAAUUGUUCUACAAAUAUCUUGCCUGUUGUGCCUCAACAACCAAUAAUUAUAAAUUAAUCUAGCAAAG